CCUAGCUCGAGCCCAUGUCCGUCAAUUACAUCCAACGUCCCAAAACACAGCUAGGGUUUUGCUUAUAAACUCUAACCACCCCACUCCCACAGCACGUCUCCCAUUUCUCGUCCGCCGGUUCUCAUCGGAGGACCUCCAACAAAUAGCGCAAGGUUUUCCAGUCUCGCUUAGCUGCCAUGAGAGCCAAGUGGAAGAAGAAGAGGAUGAGGAGGUUGAAGAGGAAGCGCCGAAAGAUGAGGCAGAGAUCCAAGUGAGAGCAGCAGGUGCGUGUAGCUGUUCGCAUGGCGGUUCUCGUGUCCUUUUGGAUUUUGUCAGACUUAGCGGUUUGUUUAGAAUUAAUGUGAAACCUUUGGCGUUCUUAUCUGUUUAUCUUUGCUGCAUUUCUUAAUAAUUAAAUGAAAUUUGACUGCUUUUUAUGA
Molecule: long non-coding RNA, 419 nt
Organism: Pyrus x bretschneideri (Chinese white pear)
Lineage: Eukaryota; Viridiplantae; Streptophyta; Magnoliopsida; Rosales; Rosaceae
Exons: 2
Source: RefSeq, a predicted model, not a curated record